CGUUUACCUCUGAGGAUGUGACAGAUAAAAAGGGAGAAAAAUUUUUAGAAGAACAUGCCAUUAUUGAUGUUUUCUACCUCUAAGGAAGGGGAACUUAUAGAUCAUAGAUUAUCAGACGAAGAGAGAUUAUUGCUGAGCAAAGAUUCAAAGAAAUUUGAAAUUUAAAAGAACAGAAAGGAGAAGAAAAAGUUUGUAGGCACGAAGUGUUCGAUAUUAUCUCGACUUCGCAGAAAUGCUUCUAGCUAAACUAAAAUAUGUUUCUCAGAGUCAUAAUAGUCGAAAAUUUUUUUACACGCCCGUUUCUAGAAAUUUGAAGUUCGACAUGAUUUUGAGAAGGAACAAGAAGGAAGAUAUCUGGAUACAAAGUUUCAAGUUGACGUAUUAUUGUUUCGACGUUUAUAGAGAAUCGUUACGUUUGUUCGCAGGAGAAAGACUGUGGCGGGUCUUGAACGUGGCGAGAGAAGAAACGAAGGAGAGAAGAAGCGAGGAAAAGGACAACGUGGUGAAUUCCCCUGGUGAAAACGACCUGAUGGCCGUCCAAGUGUAGAGCGCAAUGGAUACACAGGUUCGGGUGGCAAGUCGCGCAUGAAAAUUUCAACGGUGACAAUCGCGUCUCGCCAGGCAAAGCGGCCGAGAGCACGCUCCCCUGCCUCUCGAUCCGAUAAUGCACACCUCCGUGCGUAUCUCAUUAAAGUUCGCGGCGUGAAACGCGCGCCAGAAAGACGCGAAGGGAGGAGGAGAGAAAAAGGAAUCGGCGCGAACAACCGUGAAACGCACCGAUGCUGAUCCGAUCACGGCCUGUAAUCGAAUUUUUUUUCCCACCGUUGUUCUUUUCCUUCUCCGGUUCCCUCUCUUGUUCCCUCCGCUGCUCCUGGCAUUAUCUUCUGGCGUUGUUCUUGGAUCUGCAGCUGCUUGCAAGGAACACCAAGGUGAACGUGAACGUGACACAAAUUAUCGGAGACGUAAUUGAAGGAGGAAAAAAGAAGAAGGACGAUGAGUUACGCAGUUACUACGUAAUUUUAUGCGAGAAAUUAACGAAACAGGUUACACCGAUUGAUGUAGAAACCUGAUAAAAAUCGUUAGAUUAUCGGGAAAGAUCACGAUUUAUUAGUUUUCAUUGGACGUCGUUCGUGAUUCAUUUUUCUCACCGAACCCUGUUGCGCAUACCCACAGUCGAGCCUCCUAGAAGACAAAUUCAUUGAAAAAAAGCAAAUGUUUCGAGAAAGAUUCCCCGUAAAUGUAAAAAAUUUUUCAACGCUGACGAACUACGAUUAAGUUAAAAAUAACUCGAUCAACAUUAAUGGCACGGUUAAUCGGGCAAAUCGAUUGUAAUCAAUAUUUUGACUCCGUUUAACAGCAGCAUGGUCACUUUGAAUCUAAUCAGCAAGCAUCGUCGUUGCGUGUGGGUAUAGCUUCCACGUGUUAUCGACAGUCAGGCGACAAGAGAUUCUAAUUUGUCGUUUGCAGAGUGCUACCUAUAUGGAAAUGGAGCCACCAGUAGAAAUAAUAAUAAUUAAAGGAACA
Long non-coding RNA from Frieseomelitta varia, 1524 nucleotides. RefSeq lists it as uncharacterized. The transcript has 3 exons. NCBI's taxonomy places the organism in Eukaryota, Metazoa, Arthropoda, Insecta, Hymenoptera, Apidae. The record is from RefSeq and is a predicted model, not a curated record.